Molecule: transfer RNA, 73 nt
Filed under: Blumeria hordei DH14
Lineage: Eukaryota; Fungi; Ascomycota; Leotiomycetes; Helotiales; Erysiphaceae
Also listed under: 3 other names
Description: tRNA-Gln (TTG) (tRNA-Gln-TTG-1 1 to 8)
Rfam family: tRNA
About the family: Transfer RNA (tRNA) molecules are approximately 80 nucleotides in length.
Source: RNAcentral
GGUUGAUUAGUGUAGUUGGUUAUCACAUCGGAUUUUGAUUCCGGGGACCCGGGUUCGAAUCCCAGAUCGACCU